CAGGCUUAAAUAAAUGUUUGACAUCUUUGUCUCUUGGCACAUAAAUGAGAAACAGAUCGCCUACCUGAAUGAGUUAAAUUAAAAGCACCAAUGGGGCAGGAGCAAAAUCACAGAAGGGAAAUAUGAGAGACCUUUAUAAAGAGACUGUGGAGCAUCACACCACCCUGCAGAGAGUUUUAAUUUCCGUUCAAUAAUCUCUUUUAUAAUUGGCAAGAUCCGAGAUUUCCACAGAUUUUCUCUCAGUACAUCCAGUUGCCCCACACUAGGAGAACAAACAUGAUUAUGAGAGUAAGCUUCCAAGAAAAAUAUAUUCUUAUGAGCACAGGAGGACAAAGUAAAAAUGAAUAAAGCAUUCGUCUUCUAACAC
Long non-coding RNA from Passer domesticus (house sparrow), 367 nucleotides. RefSeq lists it as uncharacterized. The transcript is spliced from 3 exons. The record is from RefSeq and is a predicted model, not a curated record. Lineage: Eukaryota; Metazoa; Chordata; Aves; Passeriformes; Passeridae.